Molecule: ribosomal RNA, 511 nt
Filed under: uncultured bacterium
Lineage: Bacteria
Description: bacterial SSU rRNA
Rfam family: Bacterial small subunit ribosomal RNA
Source: RNAcentral
AGAGUUUGAUCAUGGCUCAGAGUGAACGCUGGCGGCAGGCCUAAUACAUGCAAGUCGAACGGCAGCACAGCAGAGCUUGCUCUGUGGGUGGCGAGUGGCGGACGGGUGAGGAAUACGUGGGAAUCUGCCCAGUCGUGGGGGAUAACGUAGGGGAACUUACGCUAAUACCGCAUGCGCCCUUCGGGGGAAAGCCGGGGAACCCUUCGGGCCUGGCGCGAUUGGAUGAGCCCACGUCGGACUAGCUAGUUGGCGGGGUAAAGGCCCACCAAGGCGACGAUCCGUAGCUGGUCUGAGAGGAUGAUCAGCCACACUGGAACUGAGACACGGUCCAGACUCCUACGGGAGGCAGCAGUAGGGAAUAUUGGACAAUGGGCGCAAGCCUGAUCCAGCCAUGCCGCGUGAGUGAAGAAGGCCCUCGGGUUGUAAAGCUCUUUGUCCGGAAAGAAAAGCGCCGGGUUAAUACCCUGGUGUCCUGACGGUACCGGAAGAAUAAGCACCGGCUAACUUCGUG